UCCUGGCUCAGCGCCUGCAAGGACCCCUCGCUCCACUCCACGUUCGAUCUCGAUAAUCAGUUCGACUCUUCAUCUGAGUCGUCUAGCUGGUGGACGCCCGAAUUCGAGAAGAAGAAUCGAUUCCAUGCUUCGUUCCGUCGUCGAUUGGAGCGAUGGCUAUAUCACCGAGAUCCGCGUUAGACACUGCUCAGAUCGCUCCCUCAAUUUUGUGGCAGAAAGGUGUCCAAAUCUUCAAGUUCUCUCAAUCAAGAGCUGCCCAAAUGCUACUGAUGCGUCAAUGGUUCAGAUUUCCUUCAAGUGCACCAAACUUAGGGAGCUUGACAUCAGUUAUUGCAACGAGAUAUCUCAUGAAUCUCUGGAGAUGAUAGGCAGAAAUUGCCCCAAUCUUAAGGUUCUAAAGCGAAACCUCAUGAACUGGUUAGAUCCUUCCCAACAUGUUGGAAUUGUCCCUAACGAUUACUUAAAUGCUUGUCCUCAAGAUGGGGAUUUAGAGGCAGCUGCAAUUUCCCAUUUUAUGCCUCAUUUGGAGCAUCUUGAACUUCGGUUCUCCAAGUUAUCAGCGAAAGGGCUUGCAUCAAUUUGUGAAGGGUGUUUGAAUCUUGAGUACUUGGAUCUAUCUGGGUGUGCAAAUUUGACGAGUCGGGAUAUCAUCAACAAGACUUCUGGUUUGAAAUAUUUGAAGGAGAUUAAAAAGCCAAAUUUCUACAUCCCAAGGUCUGUCUUCCACACUGAAAGAUAUGGCCAUUGGAGGCUUUAUGAUGAGCGAUUCCAGACGGAUGUUUUCCGAAUUUGAUCAGGUGAUUGUAAUUUUUGCAAGUUAUUAUAUAGAAACUUAGAAAGACAAUAUUUUUCAUAUGUCUGGAUGGUGGGUUGCGCAGCUAAUAACUGCUUAUAUUUGCCAUAACUGACAGCAUGUCUCAUGGUGCUGGACUCUGGGUGUUUGGCUUCCUUCAUGUUUGCUGAGUUGGUGGAUGUGUUUACUAUAUGCAUUCUUGUAAGCUGUCCUAGAAUA
RNAcentral lists this unclassified non-coding RNA (1012 nucleotides) under Hevea brasiliensis (rubber tree). The record is from RNAcentral. Lineage: Eukaryota; Viridiplantae; Streptophyta; Magnoliopsida; Malpighiales; Euphorbiaceae.